Neltuma alba is the source of this 1925-nucleotide RNA transcript. RefSeq lists it as uncharacterized. Lineage: Eukaryota; Viridiplantae; Streptophyta; Magnoliopsida; Fabales; Fabaceae. The transcript is spliced from 3 exons. The record is from RefSeq and is a predicted model, not a curated record.
AACAAGCUGAGGCGUUAGAACUCGUUCUUUUUCAAGUUUCUGAAUGCUAUGUUUAUAUGGAGAGUUCGAACUUAAAAGGAUCAGAUACCCGCCAGGAAAAGUGCAGGUUCUUACAGAUCUCUGAUCAACUUCAAAUUGCUACUCCUUGUCUAAUAUGCGUAUGAUAUGUUUAGUGAAUCUUGAACAAGUUUCUACUUCUUGCUUGCAAGACCCGAAAUUUCCAGUUUACUAGCACUUGUUUUUAAAGUUUUGUCUCAAAGUCAAUUAAGAAAAUGUCUUCUCUGAUAUUGAUAUCCUACUCUCAGAUAAACUCUCUGAUUAUUAACUGCUAUGCUUGUAAUUAGUCAACAUUUACUCUCGUGGAGUUUGUUUUAGAGCUGAUGAAUGGGAUGUCAACAAAUGGGCAUGUGAUGGAGUAUUGAAAGUUAUUAGCAAGGGACAGGAAUGCAUAAUAAAGCUUGAAGAUAAGAAAGCAGGCAAGAUAACAUUAGAGCUUCUCUAAUCAGAUCAUACAUGUUACUCUUUUGUGAAAAAAAAAACUGAAAUAAGUAAAAUAUUUAACUAGGUGAAUUGUUUGCUCGGGCUUUCUUAAGACAUGGAGAGGCACAUCCUGUGGAACCAGUUAUUGACAGCAGCAGGUGGUUUUGUGAGACUAUUGAUGACUUUCUACUCCCCAGUUUGUCACUUUAUUCCCAAUGAUCCCUAAGUAGUCAUACUUUUGUUGUGCAGAUAUUUUGUUCUUCGCAUAAAAGAGAACAUAGGUGAGCAUCUGUAUUUUGCUAUGCCUCUCGUUUUCAGCCCCUUUUGGAUUGUGACAUUUCUGAAAUCUACUUUCCACGAGGCUGGAGUUGUGUAAUGUGAAAAUAAGACAUCAAAUGGAAAGGAAAUUUCCUGAAAGAUGCUUCAAUAUUCUGAAAUCAUUUCUUGUUUAUGAAUGAAUUAACAGUGUUUAACAAUGAGUCUCAAAAGUUCCUUGCGCAGGGUAUAGAACAAUAUAUGAAACUCUGGAAUUUUAUAUCUAUACGUGUUUAAAUGUGACCGUUCGUUCUUCAGCAUGGGCUGAUAAUAAGUAUAUCAACAGACAAGUGGCGGCAGUAUGAAGUUCAAAGUUUUUGAGCAGGGCUUGAACAGCAACUCAGAAGAAAAGGGCGAUGGAAAAGUACCUGGACAUAAUAAUAAGUUACCCCCACCUCCUCCAUCACCGCUUUCAUCUGUUUCUACAAUACUGAAGUCUCCAACGAACUCACCAAGAAGUUUGAGUCUUGAAAAUACUUGCGUGGAAAAGACCACUCCAACAAUCAGUGAAGACCAGGAUUGCCAGGGUUCUCCGAAAAAUCAAAUUGCAGUGGACGUACCAGAUGAUGACGACUUUGGCGACUUUCAAGCAGCUGGUUAGCCUUGUUUAGAAUAACGACCUGUUUAUAUGCUAGCACUCAUACGUUUCUCUCAUUCAAAGUUGCGGACUAACUACCACCAAAAAUGAUUUAGGGGGAAGUCUGGCUAUCGGAUUCAGAGACCAGCAAGACAGCCAAGAGACUUGAAAUGUGCUGAAGAUUACUCAAUACAUAUUUGAAUGAAUUUAUAAUGCCCCACGGUCCACGGAUGCCUAUUUCAUGCUCCUAUUCCAUGUUAUAGCCAUGGUCAAACGCGUGCUCUUUACCUCUUAUUAUUUUGCUUUUCGCUUUUUUUAAGAGGUCAGGUUAAGACCGGAAUCUUUCAGUAAAGGACUAAAAUACCAUCAAAGCUAGAAGUGAAUUGUUUCUAUUUACCAACUGCCCCAGAUUGCAAUUCAUUCCAUCAAGAAAGAUCACCAUACAUACAGUGAAAAUACUCCGAAAAAGAACUAAAUUCUUCUCACAUGACCAGUUUCCUGCGGAAUUUCCUCGCCACAGCUUUCGCUGCAGGUCAAAUUUGGGCGACUGAAU